Molecule: ribosomal RNA, 482 nt
Filed under: uncultured bacterium
Lineage: Bacteria
Description: partial 16S ribosomal RNA
Rfam family: Bacterial small subunit ribosomal RNA
Source: RNAcentral
AUUGAACGCUGGCGGCAUGCUUUACACAUGCCAGUCGAACGGCAGCGCGGGCUUCGGCCUGGCGGCGAGUGGCGAACGGGUGAGUAAUGCAUCGGAACGUGCCCAGUAGUGGGGGAUAGCCCGGCGAAAGCCGGAUUAAUACCGCAUACGACCUGAGGGUGAAAGCGGGGGACCGAAAGGCCUCGCGCUAUUGGAGCGGCCGAUGUCGGAUUAGCUAGUUGGUGGGGUAAAGGCUUACCAAGGCGACGAUCCGUAGCUGGUCUGAGAGGACGACCAGCCACACUGGGACUGAGACACGGCCUGGACCCCUACGGGAGGCAGCAGUGGGGAAUUUUGGACAAUGGGGGCAGCUCUGAUCCAGCCAUGCCGCGUGCGGGAAGAAGGCCGGCGGGGUGGAAACCGCUUUUGUUGGGGAAGAAAGCAUCUGGGCUAAUACCCCGGGGGGAUGACGGUACGGGAAGAAUAAGCACCGGCUAACGACG